Anas platyrhynchos (mallard) is the source of this 465-nucleotide long non-coding RNA. RefSeq lists it as uncharacterized. Lineage: Eukaryota; Metazoa; Chordata; Aves; Anseriformes; Anatidae. The record is from RefSeq and is a predicted model, not a curated record.
CACAGGUGCCUGCUGCUUUCAUGACAUGGCCUGCACCCAGCUCCUCCUGAUGCUGCCGCCCCUGCCCAGGGCACAGCAAGCAGCAGUUGUGAAUCUGUACCCUAUGAGCUGCUGUUGGCCUGUGGAGCCAGGCCAGCAUGAGGGGUGGAGGGAGUCAGCAUUAAACCAAGUCUUGCAAAGCAUUUGAUCAGGUACAAGGUAAAAUUGAAACAACAGCCUCCUCACCAAUUCUUCUGAAGGAGAAUGUUCUGAGGAAAUCAUGAAAUUACAACUCUCUGAAGCAUCAGACAGACCUACCAGUGUGGAUGCUAUGCCACGUGGACAGGAGCUCUUACUGAAACUCUUCUGCAUAUCCUUGCACCUGUGCAAAACAUGAGCACUGUAGCUUUGUAGCUCAUGUUCAUUCACUCUUAAUGUUAUUGUGUCUGAAACAAAUAAAAAGCGAAGUUUCAUGACAUAGAUUCA